Long non-coding RNA from Etheostoma spectabile (orangethroat darter), 209 nucleotides. RefSeq lists it as uncharacterized. The record is from RefSeq and is a predicted model, not a curated record. The transcript is spliced from 3 exons. Lineage: Eukaryota; Metazoa; Chordata; Actinopteri; Perciformes; Percidae.
AAUAAACAAUGCAACGUUUUUAAUAAAUGUAUAUAAAGCAACUAAUGUCAACAUGGACAAAAUCAUGAAUGUACUAAUUCGCUUUUACGAUGAUGACCUGGCCAAAGUAACAACACAAAAUCUAGAAAGUUUUGUUUUCACAAUAAUUCAAUGUAGGAUUAUUAUAUUAUUGCAAUAUGAAAAUCUACAUUGACUCUUAAUUAAAUAUA